CCCCUCGCUCCGGGCCCAGUGACUCAGCACGUCACGCAGCCUAGCACUUCUCUGCAGGCUGUAGGCGUGCGCUCCGGCUUUUCCGCCUACCGCUGGUACAUUCCACUCAGCCCCCCAUGGCAGCCCACGAUCCACGGUCACCCUUGUCCGGCAGGCUCUAAUCAAGGCCUAAUCCGGCCAUAUACCCUUGCCUCAGCGUCCUCAUCUUUAGGACGAGUCCUGAGUUCAAAUCCCAGCAACCACAUCCGUAAGGAGAUCCGACUCCCUCUUCUGGAGUGUCUGAAGACAGCUACAGUGUACUUACAUAUAGUAAAUAAAUCCUUUAAAAAAAAAAAAAAAGGUUCUGCUGAAUUGAAUACAUGAAUGAAUGAAAGAAGCAAGCGGAUCCGGCGUGAGAAACUCCGCCUCUGCCCUUCAAGUUACUUCCGAACAGAAGCCAGCCAAGGUUCAUCGCAAGUGGCCACACUUGUGUUACAGAGAUGCCAGCA
Molecule: long non-coding RNA, 488 nt
Filed under: Mus caroli (Ryukyu mouse)
Lineage: Eukaryota; Metazoa; Chordata; Mammalia; Rodentia; Muridae
Description: predicted gene 12762 (MGP_CAROLIEiJ_G0006500.1)
Source: RNAcentral